GACGAACGCUGGCGGCGUGCUUAACACAUGCAAGUCGAACGGAAAGGCCCUGCUUUUGUGGGGUGCUCGAGUGGCGAACGGGUGAGUAACACGUGAGUAACCUGCCCUUGACUUUGGGAUAACUUCAGGAAACUGGGGCUAAUACCGGAUAGGAGCCCCCGCUGCAUGGUGGGGGUUGGAACGUUUCGGCGGGUGGGGAUGGACUCGCGGCUUAUCAGCUUGUUGGUGGGGUAGUGGCUUACCAAGGCUUUGACGGGUAGCCGGCCUGAGAGGGUGACCGGCCACAUUGGGACUGCGAUACGGCCCAGACGCCUACGGGAGGCAGCAGUGGGGAAUAUUGCACAAUGGGCGGAAGCCUGAUGCAGCAACGCCGCGUGCGGGAUGACGGCCUUCGGGUUGUAAACCGCUUUCGCCUGUGACGAAGCGUGAGUGACGGUAAUGGGUAAAGAAGCACCGGCUAACUACGUG
Molecule: ribosomal RNA, 468 nt
Filed under: uncultured bacterium
Lineage: Bacteria
Description: partial 16S ribosomal RNA
Rfam family: Bacterial small subunit ribosomal RNA
Source: RNAcentral